This is a long non-coding RNA of Lutra lutra (Eurasian river otter), 152 nucleotides long. RefSeq lists it as uncharacterized. Lineage: Eukaryota; Metazoa; Chordata; Mammalia; Carnivora; Mustelidae. The record is from RefSeq and is a predicted model, not a curated record. The transcript is spliced from 3 exons.
AAGUGCCUAACGCAGCAUUCUAGCUGGAAUUGAAGAUUCUAAGGAUCAGAGAGCUGUAGCAAGCCCAGGCAGCCAAGAGUGCUGGAUCAGGAUCUGUGUUUGAUCUGGAUCAGUGAGGCUGAGUUAAGCCAAGCUGCUGAGGUCUGCUGCUC